RNAcentral lists this ribosomal RNA (763 nucleotides) under uncultured bacterium. RNAcentral describes it as "bacterial SSU rRNA". It matches the Rfam family "Bacterial small subunit ribosomal RNA", at positions 71 to 803 of the family's 1533-position model. The record is from RNAcentral.
UUCUUUAUCACCGAGUGCUUGCACUCACCGAUAAAGAGUUGAGUGGCGAACGGGUGAGUAACACGUGGGCAACCUGCCCAAAAGAGGGGGAUAACACUUGGAAACAGGUGCUAAUACCGCAUAACCAUAGUUACCGCAUGGUAACUAUGUAAAAGGUGGCUAUGCUACCGCUUUUGGAUGGGCCCGCGACGCAUUAGCUAGUUGGUGGGGUAAAGGCUUACCAAGGCAAUGAUGCGUAGCCGAACUGAGAGGUUGAUCGGCCACAUUGGGACUGAGACACGGCCCAAACUCCUACGGGAGGCAGCAGUAGGGAAUCUUCCACAAUGGGCGAAAGCCUGAUGGAGCAACGCCGCGUGGGUGAAGAAGGUCUUCGGAUCGUAAAACCCUGUUGUUAGAGAAGAAAGUGCGUGAGAGUAACUGUUCACGUUUCGACGGUAUCUAACCAGAAAGCCACGGCUAACUACGUGCCAGCAGCCGCGGUAAUACGUAGGUGGCAAGCGUUAUCCGGAUUUAUUGGGCGUAAAGAGAACGCAGGCGGUCUUUUAAGUCUGAUGUGAAAGCCUUCGGCUUAACCGGAGUAGUGCAUUGGAAACUGCGAGACUUGAGUGCAGAAGAGGAGAGUGGAACUCCAUGUGUAGCGGUGAAAUGCGUAGAUAUAUGGAAGAACACCAGUGGCGAAAGCGGCUUUCUGGUCUGUAACUGACGCUGAGGUUCGAAAGCGUGNGUAGCAAACAGGAUUAGAUACCCUGGUANUCCACGCCGU